Molecule: ribosomal RNA, 833 nt
Filed under: Vibrio sp. V3
Lineage: Bacteria; Pseudomonadati; Pseudomonadota; Gammaproteobacteria; Vibrionales; Vibrionaceae
Description: bacterial SSU rRNA
Rfam family: Bacterial small subunit ribosomal RNA
Source: RNAcentral
ACCUUCGGGCCUCUCGCGUCAGGAUAUGCCUAGGUGGGAUUAGCUAGUUGGUGAGGUAAGGGCUCACCAAGGCGACGAUCCCUAGCUGGUCUGAGAGGAUGAUCAGCCACACUGGAACUGAGACACGGUCCAGACUCCUACGGGAGGCAGCAGUGGGGAAUAUUGCACAAUGGGCGCAAGCCUGAUGCAGCCAUGCCGCGUGUGUGAAGAAGGCCUUCGGGUUGUAAAGCACUUUCAGUCGUGAGGAAGGUAGUGUAGUUAAUAGCUGCAUUAUUUGACGUUAGCGACAGAAGAAGCACCGGCUAACUCCGUGCCAGCAGCCGCGGUAAUACGGAGGGUGCGAGCGUUAAUCGGAAUUACUGGGCGUAAAGCGCAUGCAGGUGGUUUGUUAAGUCAGAUGUGAAAGCCCGGGGCUCAACCUCGGAAUAGCAUUUGAAACUGGCAGACUAGAGUACUGUAGAGGGGGGUAGAAUUUCAGGUGUAGCGGUGAAAUGCGUAGAGAUCUGAAGGAAUACCGGUGGCGAAGGCGGCCCCCUGGACAGAUACUGACACUCAGAUGCGAAAGCGUGGGGAGCAAACAGGAUUAGAUACCCUGGUAGUCCACGCCGUAAACGAUGUCUACUUGGAGGUUGUGGCCUUGAGCCGUGGCUUUCGGAGCUAACGCGUUAAGUAGACCGCCUGGGGAGUACGGUCGCAAGAUUAAAACUCAAAUGAAUUGACGGGGGCCCGCACAAGCGGUGGAGCAUGUGGUUUAAUUCGAUGCAACGCGAAGAACCUUACCUACUCUUGACAUCCAGAGAACUUUCCAGAGAUGGAUUGGGCCUUCGGGAACU